GAUGAAGAACGUAGCGAAAUGCGAUAAGUAAUGUGAAUUGCAGAAUUCAGUGAAUCAUCGAAUCUUUGAACGCACAUUGCGCCCGCCAGUAUUCUGGCGGGCAUGCCUGUCUGAGCGUCAUUUCAACCCUCAUGCCCCUAGGGCGUGGUGUUGGGGAUCGGCCAAAGCCCGCGAGGGACGGCCGGCCCCUAAAUCUAGUGGCGGACCCGUCGUGGCCUCCUCUGCGAAGUAGUGAUAUUCCGCAUCGGAGAGCGACGAGCCCCUGCCGUUAAACCCCCAACUUUCUAAGGUUGACCUCAGAUCAGGUAGGAAUACCCGCUGAACUUAAGCAUAUCAAUAAGCGGAGGA
RNAcentral lists this unclassified non-coding RNA (348 nucleotides) under soil metagenome. RNAcentral describes it as "partial contains 5.8S ribosomal RNA, internal transcribed spacer 2, and large subunit ribosomal RNA". The stretch from base 1 to 120 matches the Rfam family "5.8S ribosomal RNA", at positions 35 to 154 of the family's 154-position model. The record is from RNAcentral.